UGCCACCGCCAUAUUACCCUGCAGUCAAAGACCAGUUACUCACUGAAGCUUAGCAGGGCUGAGCCUGGUCAGUACCUGGAUGGGAGACCACAUGGGAAAACUAGGUUGCUGUGAGAA
Danio rerio (zebrafish) is the source of this 117-nucleotide ribosomal RNA. The record is from Ensembl. Lineage: Eukaryota; Metazoa; Chordata; Actinopteri; Cypriniformes; Danionidae.